CUUCAGCCUCCCAAGCUGCUGGGAUUAUAGGGGUGUGCCACUGUGCUCGGCCUUUGGCUGCUGUUUGUUAACCUUUUAAUCUUAAUUGCCUAGCAGAGGGACUGGACCAGGUAGGUGGCAUGUACCCAGACCAGGGUACAUGGACAGUGCAUGCUGGGUCUUGCUUGCGUAUCAGGAACACCCAGGGGGGCCUCCCCAGGCAGGUCUCGUAGGGUCCUGAGCACUGCUGCUCCUGUGCUGAGGCUGGAGGUUGGCAGGGCCCUCACGUCUUGGCCUUCUUCCCUGAGGUAAGGACUGUGUCAGGCACUGUCAGUGUGGGAGGCACUGAGCUCAGUACUGGGUGCUGGCUCUACUCCCAGCACCCACUUCUGUUCUGGGGGUUGCUCGCCCUCUUGGAAAUGGAGUUCCUUGAGGGCAGAGGCCAUGUGGUGUCUGGCAGAGGAGGGAGGCUUUAUCAGUGCCUGUUGACUGUGUGGUCCACCUGCUGAGUGGGCCUGGUCAAUCUGCCUGGGUGGCUGGCUGGGGACAUCACUCCUGACUUGGCCUCCCCAACAGUCUGGCUCUAGGGCUGUGUACCUCCCAGCCCAUAUGACCCAGCUGUGAGGAAGGGCUUGAACCCUAGGGGUACCAAGGCCUGUGGUUGGCCAGUGGCUAGAAUUCCCCAGGAGACAGCCUUUGCAGUCCAGCUCUGACCUUGCAUGGAGCCAGGUGACUGGAAGUCACUUCAUCCAUGCCCGGGGCCUGUGCUGUUGAGAUCAGGUCACCGCGCAGGGAGCCCGUGUCCACCCACAGUGGCGCCUCUUGUCCUGGACAGCUGUGCCAGGAGGGAGCCAUUCGGGGAGCACCAGUGUGGAGUCGGGCUAGUGUCAAAUUCCUGCUCUGUCGUGCAUUAGCUGUGACACUUUUGCCCAAAUCUGUUUUCUCAUGUAUAAAUGGGGGUAUUUACAAACAAUGGAAUAUCAAGAGCAAGUCACUACCAUGUGGGUGAAUCUCGAAAACAUGAUGCUAAGUAAGAAGCCAGGCACCAGAGAUCUGGGUAUCAGACAUCCAAAUUAGGUAAAUCCAGAGGGACAGGAAUUAGAUGGGUGGUUUCCAGGAGUUGGGAGAGCAACUACCUAAUGGGUCCACACGUUCUUUUGGACUAAUGAAAGUGUUUUGGAACCAGGUGUGGUGGUGGGGGAUUCACACAACAUUGACAGUGUA
RNAcentral lists this long non-coding RNA (1203 nucleotides) under Marmota monax (woodchuck). The record is from RNAcentral. Lineage: Eukaryota; Metazoa; Chordata; Mammalia; Rodentia; Sciuridae.